GUUUAAUAAGGAAUGUCCUUACACAAAGUGAUUGUGAUUUUACAGCCAUUCCAUUGUUUCUGGUCAAGGUCUAUUUUAACUCAGUACAUUUUAAAAUCAGCAGUUAUUGAAAAGGAAAUGUGUAUUGUUCAUGACAGCUCCACUAUUCUUUUUCUAAAACAACAGAGGCUUUAUUAAGAGCAAAGUUGUAUAUGACCAUUUUUUGAGUUUUUAUUUUAUUACCAGUAAAAGAACAAAACAUCAGACAAGACUAUUGUCUGAUCCAUCUGGUGCUAUAUUUCCUCCACACAAGCCUUGUAUAACACACACACAAUAUUUCAACUGCAAAUGUUGUUUAGCUUUUACAACAAUUGCCUAUCAAAGCAUCCAGGUCCCAUUGAUAAUGGAGCAAAGCUUUUCCUGCAAUUGUGAGCCAGGAAAUGCUGGCCCCUUGGCAAGGCUCAUAUGUCCUGUUGCUUGUAAUCUCCCUCCCUCCUUGCUGGAAUGUGUUAUUUUUAAGCAGCUAGACUAACAGGAAAAGAAAGUUGUUACUUCUUUUCAUGUGACCUGGCAGUAGGAAAGUAGGAAGGCAAGAAACCCUGUUUUAGGAACUGGGGCUGAUCACAUCUUAAAGCCACUUGCUGGGUACCAAGCCACACAUGUGGGGGAAGUCGUCCGUUCCCAGCAUGCUUUUGAAUCGAUGGAACCACCACGUGUGAGUCUUCUGCUACACAGAGAACUGCACCCCAGCGUCUGGCACUGCCGAGUGGCCCACGUGGAACUCCCACGCUGCCAGGCUGAAGGUAUUUCUUCUCCAGCAUCACCUGAAGAAGGGAGGCUCAUUAACCAAACAAUCAUCAGUGACACAAAACAUGCUGAAUUCACCAAUCUCCUCUUCUCCAAAACUUCCUUUAUGACACCAUCUGCCAGAGUAAGUUUGGGAUAUAUUCUUAGGAAUUUGAAGAUUUUGAAGCACAAGCGAUGUAUACUUCUCUUCUUGUGAUUGACACCCAUGCUAUUAAAUGCAAAUAAGAUUGUGUUGGGAGUAAAAUGCUGUCUAGAAACACUUGUGUUGGAUUUGGUUUUCAAAAAUCCAGGAAGAUGAGCCCCCUCCUUUCCAGAGAAAGCUGAGAACAUCACAUGUUGUUCCCAUCAUUUUCCUUUCUCCCUAUGCUUUUCUGUACCCUGAACUAGCAUCUGUCUUUAACUUUUUUCUUUCUUUUUUUUUUUUAAUUUUUGACAGGCAGAGUGGACAGUGAGAGAGAGAGAGAGAGAGACAGAGAGAAAGGUCUUCCCUUUGCAGUUGGUUCACCCUCCAAUGGCCGCCGCGGCCGGUGCACUGCGCUGAUCCGAAGGCAGGAGCCAGGUGCUUCUCCUGGUCUCCCAUGGGGUGCAGGGCCCAAGCACUUGGGCCAUCCUCCACUGCACUCCCUGGCCACAGCAGAGAGCUGGCCUGGAAGAGGGGCAACCGGGACAGAAUCUGGCAUCCCAACCAGGACUAGAACCCAGUGUGCCGGCACCGCAAGGCAGAGGAUUAGCCUAUUGAGCUACGGCGCUGGCCUGUCUUUAACUUUUUUCAAUGCAUUCCAUCCUUGCACUGAUUAUAUCCUUUCUAUUAAUGUUUGUGUAAAUAUGUCUUUUAUAUCCUUUAACCCAUGUGUCUACUAUCACUGAAGAUAUCCCUCAAAAGGCAGUCUGCUCUUAGAGAUACUGAGUACAUAGUCACUACACACCAUGCCGUGGGUUCACCUCAACAUUUAAAUGACUUGUAGAAUAUUACUUGAGAGGCAGCAAGGCAAACUGAACCAAAGAUGAUCCUUUUUAAGACAUUAUUGUAAUCUUCUAUUUUGAACUGCUAUCAGAUGUGGCUUUUCUGCAGCAUUUAACGCUGUUGGGAGUUUUAUAUUUUCCCUCAGUUGUUCUAUUUUCCUGAAUUCUUAAAAACUAGUCCUCUUGGUAUUACUACCAAUUGUGGGUUUUUCUUUCUAAGAUUUAUUUAUUUA
This 1982-nucleotide long non-coding RNA is filed under the name Oryctolagus cuniculus (rabbit). Its description in RNAcentral is "lncRNA (ENSOCUG00000032408.1)". The record is from RNAcentral. Lineage: Eukaryota; Metazoa; Chordata; Mammalia; Lagomorpha; Leporidae.